UAGGGAAUUUUCGUCAAUGGGCGCAAGCCUGAACGAGCGAUGCCGCGUGAGUGAAGAAGGCCUUCGGGUCGUAAAGCUCUGUUGCGGGGGAAAAAAGGCAGCAUCAGGAAAUGGGUGCUGACUGAUGGUGCCCCGCCAGAAAGUCACGGCUAACUACGUCGCC
RNAcentral lists this ribosomal RNA (163 nucleotides) under uncultured bacterium. Its description in RNAcentral is "partial 16S ribosomal RNA". It matches the Rfam family "Bacterial small subunit ribosomal RNA", at positions 355 to 509 of the family's 1533-position model. The record is from RNAcentral.